This 465-nucleotide ribosomal RNA is filed under the name Vreelandella stevensii. RNAcentral describes it as "partial 16S ribosomal RNA". It matches the Rfam family "Bacterial small subunit ribosomal RNA", at positions 338 to 795 of the family's 1533-position model. Lineage: Bacteria; Pseudomonadati; Pseudomonadota; Gammaproteobacteria; Oceanospirillales; Halomonadaceae. The record is from RNAcentral.
CCUACGGGCGGCUGCAGUGGGGAAUAUUGGACAAUGGGCGAAAGCCUGAUCCAGCCAUGCCGCGUGUGUGAAGAAGGCCUUCGGGUUGUAAAGCACUUUCAGUGGGGAAGAAAGCCUUGGGGCUAAUACCCUCGAGGAAGGACAUCACCCACAGAAGAAGCACCGGCUAACUCCGUGCCAGCAGCCGCGGUAAUACGGAGGGUGCGAGCGUUAAUCGGAAUUACUGGGCGUAAAGCGCGCGUAGGCGGUCUGAUAAGCCGGUUGUGAAAGCCCCGGGCUCAACCUGGGAACGGCAUCCGGAACUGUCAGGCUAGAGUGCAGGAGAGGAAGGUAGAAUUCCCGGUGUAGCGGUGAAAUGCGUAGAGAUCGGGAGGAAUACCAGUGGCGAAGGCGGCCUUAUGGACUGACACUGACGCUGAGGUGCGAAAGCGUGGGUAGCAAACAGGAUUAGAUACCCUGGUAGUC